This 72-nucleotide transfer RNA is filed under the name Toxocara canis (dog roundworm). It matches the Rfam family "tRNA". Rfam says of the family: Transfer RNA (tRNA) molecules are approximately 80 nucleotides in length. Their secondary structure includes four short double-helical elements and three loops (D, anti-codon, and T loops). Further hydrogen bonds mediate the characteristic L-shaped molecular structure. tRNAs have two regions of fundamental functional importance: the anti-codon, which is responsible for specific mRNA codon recognition, and the 3' end, to which the tRNAs corresponding amino acid is attached (by aminoacyl-tRNA synthetases). tRNAs cope with the degeneracy of the genetic code in two manners: having more than one tRNA (with a specific anti-codon) for a particular amino acid; and 'wobble' base-pairing, i.e. permitting non-standard base-pairing at the 3rd anti-codon position. The record is from Rfam by way of RNAcentral. Lineage: Eukaryota; Metazoa; Nematoda; Chromadorea; Rhabditida; Toxocaridae.
CGAGGAGUAGCUCAAUGGUAGAACUCCAGCCUCAUAUGCGGGAAGACCAGGAUUCGAUUCCUGGCUGCUCAC